Molecule: long non-coding RNA, 1684 nt
Filed under: Phascolarctos cinereus (koala)
Lineage: Eukaryota; Metazoa; Chordata; Mammalia; Diprotodontia; Phascolarctidae
Description: lncRNA (ENSPCIG00000024885.2)
Source: RNAcentral
AUCCUGGUCUCCCUCCUCUUCUUUUUUUUUUUUAAUUUUGGAGGCAAUGGGGGUUAACUGACUUGCCCAGGGUCACAUAGCUAGCAAGUGUCUGAGGCUAGAUUUGAAUUCAGGUCCUCCUGACUCCAGGGCCAGUGCUCUAUCUACUGCGCCACCUAGCUGGCCUUCUCCUCUUGUUUCUUUAACCAGCUCUGCCUUUGAUAAGCCAUAACAUGUCCUCCAUGUCUUCAUUCCUCUCUCUAGUGAAUGUAAUUCCUGCUCUCAUUUCCCUCCUUGGAUAGAAGAUGAGUGAAAACUGUACAAUGUUGAAUACCUCCAGCUGAGACCCAUGGAGAGAGGGCUGUUGCACAAGAGGCUCAGUACACAGACAACGACCAAAUGCAGUGAAAGGAGAAGAAGGCUAGUGAGAAGAGCAGUCUAAAGCAAACUUUCAUGAAGGGAGUUAGGUGGUGGCACACUGGGAGAUCUCUCUCCCACUCCCGCCUCAGGAGGGAAAGAAUCACAUUAGAGGCAAGAUCGGAAACAUCUACCCUGGCAGAUGGCAGGGGGCAACUGCAGUGAGUGACCUGACCAGGAACUACCUGAAGGAGAUACAGGUAGAGGUCUGCUCUGGGACCCAGGGGAAGGGAAGAAAGUCAAAAUGGGCUCAAUCGCCUUGCACAGUAAGAGAAGCACCCAAGCAAACCUAAUCCCCGCAAAAGGUAUUGGAAACAAAUAACUCAUAUUUCUGUAGCACUUUAAAGUAUCACCAAUGAGUGACACACUCUUUCCUCAGAAGAAAAGAUAUCGUCUGAGAUCUAGGGACUCAGAUUCAAGGUGGGACAGAGAUGGGACAAAAUCACUAUCAGGUCAAGGAUUUCUGACCUCCUUGAAGACGGGUUCAGUCCCAGGCCUUUUCUUAUUUUGGUGGAUAUGUUGCUGGGCCCUUGCCAAACCCUUCUUGUCAAAUGAAAAUACUGAGAGAGGAGAUUGUCUCUGCAAUUCUUUUUUAUUUGCCUAUUUGCCUUAUGUCAGAGGUUCCCAAACUUAUUUGGCCUAUUGCCCCCUUUAAAAAAAAUUACUCAAUGCCUCCCCUAGAAAUCUACUUUAAAAAAAAAGCCAACUGGGGUUAAGUGACUUGCCCAGGGUCACACAGCUAAUAAGUGUCAAGUGUUUGGUCUGGGGCCGGAUUUGAACUCAGGUCCUCUUGACUUCAGGGCCAGUGCUCUAUCCACUCACUGUGCCACCUAACUGCCCCAAGAAAUCUACUUUCUUUAACAGUGUUUUUAAAAUUUGCAUCAUUUCAAAAAAAGUAUAAAUUUUUUUUUUAAAAAAUGAUGCAUCUUAAAUCUAAUAAUUUACUGUAAAUUUGUGGGUUUUUUUUUCCUGCAUUGAAAUUUUGAUGACACAAUAUCUACUGCGCCAUCUAUCUGUGAAUAUUUUUUACAUGACACCUAAUCUGUUUCCACCAAGGAGAAAGAGGACUACUAGUGUUAAUGGUAGAAGGAAAUAGUGAGAACAGAGCAAGACUAGGGGACUUUGUUGUCCUUCUAACAUUAGUUGGAAUUACCUUUACUUCCCAGAGAGGGAAUAUUAUAGGAAGAAGGGAUAGAAAACCAAUGAGUGAUACUCUCUUUCCUCAGAAGAAAAGAUAGUGUCUGAGCUCUAGGGAUUCAGAUUCAGGGUAACCCAGAUGGGAUCAGCU